UUAUAGGUAUAUGAUGAGAAUGCUUCGUACAGUAGCAAUGAAGUGCUGUAAUAAGGUAGUGAUUGCCAAGAAGAGUUCACACAGCUGGCAAAGACUCAAAAUUCAUCCCAAAAAGACAUCGGGUGGAGUGAGGGGCUCAUUCGGUAGUGGUAGUGAUUGCUAAUUCAUAUAACAUUUCCUCUUAAAAUUUGUGUGCUGAG
This is a non-coding RNA of Arachis ipaensis, 200 nucleotides long. The record is from RefSeq and is a predicted model, not a curated record. Lineage: Eukaryota; Viridiplantae; Streptophyta; Magnoliopsida; Fabales; Fabaceae.